RNAcentral lists this ribosomal RNA (802 nucleotides) under uncultured crenarchaeote. RNAcentral's name for it is "bacterial SSU rRNA". It matches the Rfam family "Archaeal small subunit ribosomal RNA", at positions 52 to 858 of the family's 1478-position model. The record is from RNAcentral. Lineage: Archaea; Thermoproteati; Thermoproteota.
UGCGAGUCAUUGUAGCAAUACAAGGCAGACGGCUCAGUAACGCGUAGUCAACCUAACCUAUGGAUGGGAAUAACCUCGGGAAACUGAGAAUAAUGCCCAAUAGAACACUAUACCUGGAAUGGUUUGUGUUCCAAAUGAUUUAUCGCCGUAGGAUGGGACUGCGGCCUAUCAGUUUGUUGGUGAGGUAAUGGCCCACCAAGACUAUUACAGGUACGGGCUUCUGAGAGGAGUAGCCCGGAGAUGGGUACUGAGACACGGACCCAGGCCCUAUGGGGCGCAGCAGGCGAGAAAACUUUGCAAUGUGCGAAAGCACGACAAGGUUAAUCCGAGUGGUUUCUGCUAAAGGAACCUUUUGUCGAUCCUAGAAACACCGAUGAAUAAGGGGUGGGCAAGCUCUGGUGUCAGCCGCCGCGGUAAAACCAGCACCUCAAGUGGUCAGGAUGAUUAUUGGGCCUAAAGCAUCCGUAGCCGGCUCUGUUAGUUUUCGGUUAAAUCUGUACGCUCAACGUACAGGCUGCCGGGAAUACUGCAGAGCUAGGGAGUGGGAGAGGUAGACGGUACUCGGUAGGAAGGGGUAAAAUCCUUUGAUCUAUUGAUGACCACCUGUGGCGAAGGCGGUCUACCAGAACACGUCCGACGGUGAGGGAUGAAAGCUGGGGGGAGCAAACCGGAUUAGAUACCCGGGUAGUCCCAGCUGUAAACUAUGCAAACUCAGUGAUGCAUUGGCUUGUGGCCAAUGCAGUGCUGCAGGGAAGCCGUUAAGUUUGCCGCCUGGGAAGUACGUACGCAAGUAUGAAACUCA